GAACUAGUUUCACUAAUGGAUCGGUUUCCUGGUGUGUCCACACAUACCAUGACAUGUUGCUUCUAAAACUCUUCUCCUUCACUUGUUACAUCUGUCAACAUUUGAUUUUUUUUUUUUUUUUUUUUUAUUCAUGUCACUCUAGUUGUGG
Sphaeramia orbicularis (orbiculate cardinalfish) is the source of this 148-nucleotide long non-coding RNA. RefSeq lists it as uncharacterized. NCBI's taxonomy places the organism in Eukaryota, Metazoa, Chordata, Actinopteri, Kurtiformes, Apogonidae. The record is from RefSeq and is a predicted model, not a curated record. The transcript is spliced from 4 exons.